UACAGAGGUCUCAAGCGUUGUUCGGAUUCAUUGGGCGUAAAGGGUGCGUAGGCGGCGCGGUAAGUCGGGUGUGAAAUCUCGGGGCUUAACUCCGAAACUGCAUUCGAUACUGCCGUGCUUGAGGACUGGAGAGGAGACUGGAAUUUACGGUGUAGCGGUGAAAUGCGUAGAUAUCGAGAGGAACACCAGUGGCGAAGGCGGGUCUCUGGACAGUUCCUGACGCUGAGGCACGAAGGUCAGGGGAGCAAACGGG
RNAcentral lists this ribosomal RNA (253 nucleotides) under uncultured bacterium. Its description in RNAcentral is "partial 16S ribosomal RNA". It matches the Rfam family "Bacterial small subunit ribosomal RNA", at positions 524 to 776 of the family's 1533-position model. The record is from RNAcentral.